Molecule: ribosomal RNA, 407 nt
Filed under: uncultured Methanolinea sp.
Lineage: Archaea; Methanobacteriati; Methanobacteriota; Methanomicrobia; Methanomicrobiales; Methanoregulaceae
Description: bacterial SSU rRNA
Rfam family: Archaeal small subunit ribosomal RNA
Source: RNAcentral
GGAUAAGACAGCUGGAUGAUAGCCGGGCUGAAGACUCUGCUUGACUAGCUGAGAGGAGGUGCAUGGCCGUCGUCAGUUCGUACUGUGAAGCAUCCUGUUAAGUCAGGCAACGAGCGAGACCCACGCCAACAGUUGCCAGCAUGUCCUCCGGGAUGAUGGGGACACUGUUGGGACCGCCUCUGCUAAAGAGGAGGAAGGAAUGGGCAACGGUAGGUCAGCAUGCCCCGAAUUAUCCGGGCUACACGCGGGCUACAAUGGUCAGGACAAUGGGUAUCAACACCGAAAGGUGAAGGCAAUCUCCUAAACCUGUCCUUAGUUCGGAUUGUGGGCUGCAACUCGCCCACAUGAAGCUGGAAUCUGUAGUAAUCGCGUCUCAAAAUGGCGCGGUGAAUAUGUCCCUGCUCCUU